GCUGCCCCCCAGCCCCAGGACCCGACAGCUCUCCAGCAGUUGAGGUGGACUUGGGAGAACACCCACCAGAGACCAGAGCUGGAGAUUCUGGCCGGGGGAAAGUGAACUGAGAGGGGUUGCUCUCAGCCUGAACGUCAGGGAGGGGGUGAGAAUGAGAAGCUGCUGGACACAGACCCCGACAAUCUGAUCCAGACCUCCUAUUCGCUUUUGUGCCUCCAGCUACCCCAUCUUGCAGGCGGCAAACCCCAGGAGGAGUAAGGGACCCUUCGCGCUGGGUGCCGCAGGGCACCUGAGAGGCUGGUGCAGCCACAGCACUGAGACGGUGAGGAAAUGUCUACUUCAUUUGUGAUGAAAUCAUCAUCCUCGGAAAGUGAGAAACAAGUGUGUCUCGCAGCCACUCACCAAAGCUGAAGCUGGGAGAGGUUAUGGCCCAAGAUCAAGAGCAAGUUUGUGGCUAACUUGGUCCCCAAAGUCAGAUCUCCUGAUGCCGCUGUUCUACUUCACUGCAUGCCAUCUCGCAGCUGCCCAAAGACGGACGUGCUCACCACUCGGGCGCCAUUUGGAGACCCUGGCAAGAGAGUCUGAGGAUAGCAUCUUCAGACACGGAUCUUUCCUUAAGCCGAAGCUGUUCCCCAAUUCCAAAAAGUACAUGAUGUUCUGCUGAAUGCCAAGAUGAGAUUUUGCAUGCAAGAUCCCUUCAAAGCCCAACUUUCAGUUAUGCUGCUUUAUGAGACAGCACGUCUUCUGUGGAAGCUUAUUUCAUCGCCUGUCUCUUGGACGAAGGUGCUCUGUGGCUCUGAGCAUAUACCAUCUCCCCAGCGAUUAGGUAACUGAAUCCAUUGCAUUUAUUGGGCUUGGUUCCCGCCAGCACUAGGAAGAUGGGGAAAAUGCAAAUGCCAGCGUUCCCCAAAGUUAAAAGUACAUGAAACACAUACUCUUUAUCAGGCCUUGCUUCUCCUCUUUGAUCAGCCGUCAGUAACUAUCUGCCCUCGGCCGCCAGGGCUGGGCAGCGUCAGCCCACACUCUCUGCCAAUGACAGGUGGUAAUAGAGAGGGUGCGAGCCCCGGCCCCGGCAGGCGGCCCUGCCUCUGAUAAUGGCCAAAGCACUGAGGGAUAACGGCUCGUAAACACGCGGACAGCGGUGACUCCAUACAUCAGCAAAGAGGGCCAGAUAAUCCUGAACCCUCCUGACCAGACAAAGGCCCUUGACCGGCCCACAGGGAUUUAUGCGUGGCAAGGGUCAUCCCUGGCUCCUGAAUUUCAUCAGCCAAGCUUAGUUUUGAUUUAUCUCUUGACUAAUUGUAGGGUAGAUUCCUGGCACUGGGGGAAUGAGCAGCAUCUACAAAUGCAUCUCCCUAGUCCAAGGCCCACCCUGGGCGUGGGUGGCUUAGGACCAGCUAGUCAGAUGGGACUCAGUGGGAUGGAGAGCUGCCCUAUGCCAUAUCUCUCCACUAAGGAGGGUUAGGAGGUGGGACUGGGGAGCGAGGCACUGGGCAGUGGGGGUGGGUGCGCCGAUCUGAGUGGUCAGCCAAUCCUUCCAGUGCCGACCCUACCCAGGGCCAAGUCAACCAGCCACAGCAAUGAUUCCAAGGGGUUCAGGUCUCAAAGGACACACAGCUUUUGACAGCCCUGCCCACUCACUCAGUAAUGUUAGAGAAGUCUAUCUCCUAGUUCCAUCUUUGAAGUGGCAGGACUAACUCCUUGCCCUGCCCUGCCUCAAAGGAGUGAAGAGUUUAAGCAACGUUUCUGCCAAGAGUCUGCUUUCCUUCGGUAUGGCCCCAAGAGCCAAUACCUCAUUGUUUUACUCCGAAGGGUCUGCCUGGGUCAUUUAUGCUUAGUGAUUUCCAGAAUGGAGGGCAGUAAUACAAUGCUGGCAUGCCUCCUCCCUGUACACUUGAGAAGGCAGCCUCCUCACGGGUGGGUAGAGAGGCCUGGGCGGGUGGCUGCCUCUAAAAGCACCAUCAAUGCCUGUACACACUUUGUUCGAGACCAGGCAGGCCUGCUGGUGGCAGUGCCCAGAAGAACAUCAGAAGUCCAGAAAACUUUGAUAGCAAGUUCAGUUAAGAGGGUGGACUUGGCCCAAGACAGAUGGUAAAGGAUACGGGAGUCUCUAAGAUUUGUAGGGGCUAGACAACCGAAAAGAAACAGGAGCUGAUGUUAUGGUCACAAACAGCAACAGACCUGGACUUAAAUCUAGGUGUUCCCAUAUCAGCAGUAUGGUCAUGGGCAGGUAGUUUCAUCUUUUGUGAGUUUCUGGUUUCUCAUGCGGAAGCAAUUCGACCCUGUAGGGCUCUCGUGAGGAUUGCAUCUGAUGACUGUCAGUCUUCUGGCCCACAACAGAUGCUUCAUAUAUGAGGGGGAUUCAGAAAGUUGGUGGGAAAAUGGAAUGGGAAGAUAAGGGGAUUUUCCCACAAACGUUUUUGAAGCCCCUUUGCUGAAAAUGAAAACCAACCAACCAACAGAGCCAAACCGAUGAGAGCUGGGACGGGUGUAGGGCAGAAACCGGUCAGGGAAGGGAACGAGGAGGCCUUUCCCCUAAAACGAGCACCAGACAGAAUGAUCGAGGCAAAGGAAGGUGCUGGCCAGAGCCCUCACAUAACAGAGGUAAAUACUAUUACACACACACAGUCUAAGUGUGGAUACACACACACAGACAUCCAGCUGAACAUGUGGGAAGAUGAAAAGGACUACACCCACAAAUAAUAUACAAACCAUAUAGAUGCACAUAUAUACUUCACAGAGGAUAUUUACACUCAUGUAUGAGGGGCUUCAAACAUAGCCAUGAACAUAGUAGCGCGCACAGGGGCAAUGACCAUGGGGGGUGCGGGCCAGAGUUGAAAGGGCACUACGAAAGACAGACACUGUGCCACAUCCGACUUUGGUGAAGAGCAACCAGGGUCUUAAAACCCUUGUGAGGGGCCACUUACGGGGCGACCACUGGUCCUUCCCCACCCACAGCAAAGGGGAGUAAGGAAACCAAAGCUGCAAAGAAGAAUGAGUCCGCUGAGAACGAGUGGACCCCACGAACCCCAGCUUGGCCCUGAAAUAGGAAUCACGAGUUGACUGCUUUGAGGGGAUCGCAAUAGGAGGCCCGAACUGGAGUGGGGAAAAUGUGGGGCAAAAAUACAAAUGAUAAAAAAGGCCAGAUUGACUGGGGUGAUGGAGACUGGUAGGACCCUGAGACUGUGGUCCUGAGAACCCGUUCAGACCGGCAACAGAACUCGCCACCAUGGCUCGACUUGCAGUCCACCCAGAGGCAGGCCUCCAAGGUGCAGAGCAACAGCAGGGAGGUCUGUGCCCCCUGGAGCAACCUCCACGAGAGCCAACGGGAUCAAGUUCAAAAGGCAGGAAGGGCAAGGGAAAGAAAGGCAGAGGCUCCACUGUGGGGAUGCCGGUCAAUGUCCCCAAACAAAGUGUUAUGAAUCAUUACACGAACAACCAACACACUGUGUAAACUUCCACCCAAAUCACAAUAAAAAGUUAAACAAGA
Echinops telfairi (small Madagascar hedgehog) is the source of this 3490-nucleotide long non-coding RNA. RefSeq lists it as uncharacterized. The record is from RefSeq and is a predicted model, not a curated record. The transcript is spliced from 3 exons. Lineage: Eukaryota; Metazoa; Chordata; Mammalia; Afrosoricida; Tenrecidae.